GAGUAGGCUAUUGUGCUUUUAUGAGUACGGAGGUUUUCGUUCUCGUAAUUUGUUUUAUAUAAUGAGACUUCCGAAUCGACAAUCAAUUCUAUUAGAUUUGAUCUAGGGUAUUUAAAAUAUUUAAAAAUAUGAUUUUUUUGAUAUCAUUUAUCUAGUGUUUAAAAGGGUUUAAUAUCAAUAAUUUUAAUGGUUAAUGUGAGUUGUUUACUAGUUUGACUGUGUAUAGAUUUUCAAAUCAAAUAAAAUUUUGAGAGAAAAAUUUUUAAUUAUUAACAGCAAAAUUAAUAUUUCUGAUCUAAAAUUUCGAUAUUAUAUUAUUACUUUUUGUGAGAUUGUUAUUUUCAGUCAAUGGUUUUGAGCCAUUUAUGUAACCGAUAUUGAAAAAUCGUAAAAUUUAUUUUUAAAAUACUUCAAAUACUCUAGAUUAAGCUUACUAUAGCUGAUUGUCAAUUCAAAAAUUCUAUCAUAGAAAAUAAUUUAGGAGUAUGGAGGCUUUUGUGCUCUUAAAAUUAUAGUAGUCCUACUCUUUUUUCUUUUUCUUUUUUUGGUUAAAGGCUAAGGCGCCUGCUGGAACUUUCGGGCGCUCAAAAACUACGUGG
RNAcentral lists this long non-coding RNA (599 nucleotides) under Ananas comosus (pineapple). RNAcentral's name for it is "long non-coding RNA (ACOM_LNC005056)". The record is from RNAcentral. Lineage: Eukaryota; Viridiplantae; Streptophyta; Magnoliopsida; Poales; Bromeliaceae.